CCCGACCAUUCAGCUCAGCAUCUCGGCCAGUAGUGCGGAAUAAAACUCUGAUUUUGUCUCCUUGCUUGUUAUGGCGCUCAACACUUAGCACGGCGCCAAGGGAAAUCAACCAAAGUACCCAGGCCUUGCCUGCUCAUUCAGCUGGUUUGUGGCUUACUCCUAUGAGAUAUCCUCAGGACCGGAGGAUUUGCAAGAGUCCAAGCGGGAAGUUGUGCUAAAGGGCAGACCUUUCAGGAGGUUGAGGACAGUUGAGCCACCAAUAGUGCGGCUUGUAUCCAGACAUUAAUAUGGGCAGAAAAGAAGACUGGGUGCAUAGCGUGGCGUCGCGUAUUGUGUGAUUUCGAAGAAAAACUGAAUUCUGCACUUGGAA
Long non-coding RNA from Acanthaster planci (crown-of-thorns starfish), 370 nucleotides. NCBI's taxonomy places the organism in Eukaryota, Metazoa, Echinodermata, Asteroidea, Valvatida, Acanthasteridae. The record is from RefSeq and is a predicted model, not a curated record.